GAGUUUGAUCUUGGCUCAGAUUGAACGCUGGCGGCAUGCCUUACACAUGCAAGUCGAACGGCAGCACGGGAGCUUGCUCCUGGUGGGCGAGUGGCGAACGGGUGAGUAAUGCAUCGGAACGUAUCCUGGAGUGGGGGAUAACGUAGCGAAAGUUACGCUAAUACCGCAUAUUCUGUGAGCAGGAAAGCGGGGGACCUUCGGGCCUCGCGCUCUUGGAGCGGCCGAUGCCGGAUUAGCUAGUUGGUGAGGUAAAGGACUCACCAAGGCGACGAUCCGUAGCAGGUCUGAGAGGAUGAUCAGCCACACUGGAACUGAGACACGGUCCAGACUCCUACGGGAGGCAGCAGUGGGGAUUUUGGACAAUGGGGGCAACCCUGAUCCAGCCAUGCCGCGUGAGUGAAGAAGGCCUCGG
This 412-nucleotide ribosomal RNA is filed under the name bacterium enrichment culture clone ALO1_GLFRUDD03FWLKR. RNAcentral describes it as "bacterial SSU rRNA". It matches the Rfam family "Bacterial small subunit ribosomal RNA", at positions 9 to 420 of the family's 1533-position model. The record is from RNAcentral.